This 278-nucleotide long non-coding RNA is filed under the name Nicotiana benthamiana. RNAcentral describes it as "long non-coding RNA (NBEN_LNC029208)". Lineage: Eukaryota; Viridiplantae; Streptophyta; Magnoliopsida; Solanales; Solanaceae. The record is from RNAcentral.
GUCAUGUCAUUUGAGAAGUGCAUGCAAAAUUUCAGGUUAAUCGGACGUAUUUCGGUUAGGUUUUGAAUCGAAAGCGAGUUUGGUUAAGUUUUGGAAGUUUUAUGUUCAAAUUAUUGAUUAAUUUGUGUCUCCGACGUUGUUUUAGGUGGUUUAAGAAUUGGUACAAGUUUGAAUGAUGAUAAGGGAUAGGUUUGUAGGUUUGGUUGAGGUCCCGGGGGCCUCGAGUGUGUUUUGGAUGCUCGACGGGUUGGCUUUGGAAAUUAGAAUGAAGUUGUGCU